RNAcentral lists this long non-coding RNA (364 nucleotides) under Fukomys damarensis (Damara mole-rat). RNAcentral's name for it is "lncRNA (ENSFDAG00000032138.1)". The record is from RNAcentral. Lineage: Eukaryota; Metazoa; Chordata; Mammalia; Rodentia; Bathyergidae.
GAAACACAUUCCUAGACAAAGAUUCAUAGAGCCUGGAAAUAGUUUCAGAAGGAUCUACUGAGCGACUAAACCUACCAGCUCGAAGAAUUGUCUCCAAGAAUGGCUAAGCACAUACGACUGGAGACACCCCAGAAAAGGAGAAAAGUCUGGGCCUCUGUCACUGUCAUUGAGAGCUGCCUUCCGGAUGGACACUGCCCCCCUGCACUCUGGGCUUGGGACCACCCUUCCCUUGGUCAAGCUGAGUGCGAGGAAGGAAUCAUAUGAUCUAAGAUGGGAACUUCAGGGAGCACAUGAAAUCUUGAUUUCCUUUCACAUUCUUCAAAUCAGGACUUAAAUGCUUCUAAUGCUCAAUAAAUAUUGGAGA